RNAcentral lists this ribosomal RNA (497 nucleotides) under uncultured bacterium. Its description in RNAcentral is "partial 16S ribosomal RNA". It matches the Rfam family "Bacterial small subunit ribosomal RNA", at positions 28 to 507 of the family's 1533-position model. The record is from RNAcentral.
GAUGAACGCUGGCGGCGUGCCUAAUACAUGCAAGUCGAGCGAACGGACGAGAAGCUUUCUUCUCUGAUGUUAGCGGCGGACGGGUGAGUAACACGUGGAUAACCUACCUAUAAGACUUGGAUAACUUCGGGAAACCGGAUCUAAUACCGGAUAAUAUUUUGAACCGCAUGGUUCAAAAGUGAAAGACGGUCUUGCUGUCACUUAUAGAUGGAUCCGCGCUGCAUUAGCUAGUUGGUAAGGUAACGGCUUACCAAGGCAACGAUGCAUAGCUGACCUGAGAGGGUGAUCGGCCACACUGGAACUGAGACACGGUCCAGACUCCUACGGGAGGCAGCAGUAGGGAAUCUUCCACAAUGGGCGAAAGCCUGACGGAGCAACGCCGCGUGAGUGAUGAAGGUCUUCGGAUCGUAAAACUCUGUUAUUAGGGAAGAAAAUAUGUGUAAGUAACUGUGCACAUCUUGACGGUACCUAAUCAGAAAGCCACGGCUAACUACGUG